This 1415-nucleotide ribosomal RNA is filed under the name Tomato big bud phytoplasma, New Cal. RNAcentral describes it as "partial 16S ribosomal RNA". It matches the Rfam family "Bacterial small subunit ribosomal RNA". The record is from RNAcentral. Lineage: Bacteria; Bacillati; Mycoplasmatota; Mollicutes; Acholeplasmatales; Acholeplasmataceae.
UUUGAUCCUGGCUCAGGAUUAACGCUGCGGCGUGCCUAAUACAUGCAAGUCGAACGGAAACCUUUGGGUUUUAGUGGCGAACGGGUGAGUAACACGUAAGCAACCUACCCUAAAGACGAGGAUAACCAUUGGAAACAGUGGCUAAGACCUUCCCCAAAGGGGAAAAGCUCUGGUAUCUUUUUAAAGACCUAGUUAUAGGUAUACUUUAGGACGGGCUUGCGCCAUAUUAGUUACCUUGGUAGGGUAAUGGCCUACCAAGACGAUGAUGUGUAGCUGGACUGAGAGGUUGAACAGCCACAUUGGGACUGAGACACGGCCCAAACUCCUACGGGAGGCAGCAGUAGGGAAUUUUCGGCAAUGGAGGAAACUCUGACCGAGCAACGCCGCGUGAAUGACGAAGUACUUUGGUAUGUAAAGUUCUUUUAUCAAGGAAGAAAAGCAAGUGGCGAACCAUUUGUUUGCCGGUACUUGAUGAAUAAGCCCCGGCUAAUUAUGUGCCAGCAGCCGCGGUAAGACAUAAGGGGCAAGUGUUAUCCGGAAUUAUUGGGCGUAAAGGGUGAUGGAGGAACACCAGAGGCGUAGGCGGCUCGCUGGGCUUAACUGACGUUGAGGCACGAAAGCGUGGGGAGCAAACAGGAUUAGAUACUCUGGUAGUUCACGCCGUAAACGAUGAGUAAUAAGUGUCGGGUCAAACCGGUACGGAAGUUUAACACAUUUAAGUACUCCGCCUGAGUAGUACGUACGCAAGUAUGAAACUUAAAGGAAUUGACGCUCCGCACAAGCGGUGGAUCAUGUUGUUUAAUUUGAAGAUACCCGAAAAACCUUACCAGGUCUUGACAUGUUUUUGCGAAACGGUAGUAAUAUCGUGGAGGUUAUCAGAAACACAGGUGGUGCAUGGUUGUCGUCAGCUCGUGUCGUGAGAUGUUGUUGGUUAAGUCCUAAAACGAGCGAACCCUUAUCUUAGUUGCCAGCACGUUAUGGUGGGGACUUUAACGACACUGCCAGUGAUAAACUGGAGGAAGGUGAGGAUUCACGUCAAAUCAGCAUGCCCCUUAUGACCUGGGCUACAAACGUGAUACAAUGGCUGUUACAAAGGGUAUGAAACGCAAGUUUUUGGCCAAUCCCCAAAAACAGUUUCAGUCCGGAUGAAGUCUGCAACUCGACUUCAUGAAGUUGGAAUCGCUAGUAAUCGCGAUCAGCAUUUGCGAAUUCCGUAUCUUCCUGAAACUGUCGCGGUGAAUACGUUCUCGGGGUUUGUACACACCGCCCGUCAAACCACGAAAGUUGGCAAUACCCCAAAACGGUAGUCUAACUCGUUUAUUCGAGAGGGCGCCGUCUAAGGUAGGGUCGAUGAUUGGGGUUAAGUCGUAACAAGGUAUCCCUACCGGAAGGUGGGGAUGGAUCACCUCCUUUCU